This 664-nucleotide ribosomal RNA is filed under the name Fusarium oxysporum. Its description in RNAcentral is "eukaryotic LSU rRNA". The stretch from base 49 to 219 matches the Rfam family "5.8S ribosomal RNA". Lineage: Eukaryota; Fungi; Ascomycota; Sordariomycetes; Hypocreales; Nectriaceae. The record is from RNAcentral.
GGGAUCAUUACCGAGUUUACAACUCCCAAACCCCUGUGAACAUACCACUUGUUGCCUCGGCGGAUCAGCCCGCUCCCGGUAAAACGGGACGGCCCGCCAGAGGACCCCUAAACUCUGAUGCGAUAAGUAAUGUGAAUUGCAGAAUUCAGUGAAUCAUCGAAUCUUUGAACGCACAUUGCGCCCGCCAGUAUUCUGGCGGGCAUGCCUGUUCGAGCGUCAUUUCAACCCUCAAGCACAGCUUGGUGUUGGGACUCGCGUUAAUUCGCGUUCCCCAAAUUGAUUGGCGGUCACGUCGAGCUUCCAUAGCGUAGUAGUAAAACCCUCGUUACUGGUAAUCGUCGCGGCCACGCCGUUAAACCCCAACUUCUGAAUGUUGACCUCGGAUCAGGUAGGAAUACAUGCGAUAAGUAAUGUGAAUUGCAGAAUUCAGUGAAUCAUCGAAUCUUUGAACGCACAUUGCGCCCGCCAGUAUUCUGGCGGGCAUGCCUGUUCGAGCGUCAUUUCAACCCUCAAGCACAGCUUGGUGUUGGGACUCGCGUUAAUUCGCGUUCCCCAAAUUGAUUGGCGGUCACGUCGAGCUUCCAUAGCGUAGUAGUAAAACCCUCGUUACUGGUAAUCGUCGCGGCCACGCCGUUAAACCCCAACUUCUGAAUGUUGACCUCGG